RNAcentral lists this ribosomal RNA (252 nucleotides) under uncultured bacterium. RNAcentral's name for it is "partial 16S ribosomal RNA". It matches the Rfam family "Bacterial small subunit ribosomal RNA", at positions 524 to 776 of the family's 1533-position model. The record is from RNAcentral.
UACGGGGGGGCAAGCGUUGUUCGGAAUUACUGGGCGUAAAGGGCUCGUAGGUGGCCAACUAAGUCGGACGUGAAAUCCCUCGGCUUAACCGGGGAACUGCAUCCGAUACUGGAUGGCUUGAGUUCGGGAGAGGGAUGCGGAAUUCCAGGUGUAGCGGUGAAAUGCGUAGAUAUCUGGAGGAACACCAAUGGCGAAGGCAGCACUCUGGGACGUGACUGACGCUGAGACGCGAAAGCGUGGGGAGCAAACAGG